UACAGAGGUGCCGAGCGUUAGGCGGAAUCACUGGGCUUAAAGCGCGCGCAGGCGGCUAUCCAAGUCAGUGGUGAAAGCCCGGAGCUCAACUCCGGAACUGCCAUUGAAACUGUUUAGCUUGAGGACGAGAGAGGUGAGUGGAAUUCCCAGUGUAGAGGUGAAAUUCGUAGAUAUUGGGAAGAACACCGGUGGCGAAGGCGGCUCACUGGCUCGUAUCUGACGCUCAGGCGCGACAGCGUGAGGAUCAAACAGG
This 253-nucleotide ribosomal RNA is filed under the name uncultured bacterium. Its description in RNAcentral is "partial 16S ribosomal RNA". It matches the Rfam family "Bacterial small subunit ribosomal RNA", at positions 524 to 776 of the family's 1533-position model. The record is from RNAcentral.